GCGGAAGUAGCUCAGUGGUAGAGCAUCGCCUUGCCAAGGCGAGGGUCGCGGGUUCGAAUCCCGUUUUCCGCUCCA
Molecule: transfer RNA, 75 nt
Filed under: Thermosinus carboxydivorans Nor1
Lineage: Bacteria; Bacillati; Bacillota; Negativicutes; Selenomonadales; Sporomusaceae
Also listed under: 2 other names
Description: tRNA-Gly
Rfam family: tRNA
About the family: Transfer RNA (tRNA) molecules are approximately 80 nucleotides in length.
Source: RNAcentral